RNAcentral lists this ribosomal RNA (253 nucleotides) under uncultured bacterium. RNAcentral's name for it is "partial 16S ribosomal RNA". It matches the Rfam family "Bacterial small subunit ribosomal RNA", at positions 524 to 776 of the family's 1533-position model. The record is from RNAcentral.
UACGAAGGGGGCUAGCGUUGUUCGGAAUUACUGGGCGUAAAGCGCACGUAGGCGGAUCUGUAAGUUGGGGGUGAAAUCCCGAGGCUCAACCUCGGAAUUGCCUUCAAGACUGCAGGGCUUGAGUUCGGGAGAGGUGAGUGGAAUUCCAAGUGUAGAGGUGAAAUUCGUAGAGAUUGGGAAGAACACCAGUGGCGAAGGCGGCUCACUGGCCCGUAACUGACGCUGAGGUGAGAAAGCGUGGGGAGCAAACAGG